RNAcentral lists this ribosomal RNA (1707 nucleotides) under Salmonella enterica. RNAcentral describes it as "bacterial LSU rRNA". It matches the Rfam family "Bacterial large subunit ribosomal RNA", at positions 1252 to 2925 of the family's 2925-position model. Lineage: Bacteria; Pseudomonadati; Pseudomonadota; Gammaproteobacteria; Enterobacterales; Enterobacteriaceae. RNAcentral also lists the same sequence under 1 other name. The record is from RNAcentral.
GAAGGUGGCCUGUGAGGGUUGCUGGAGGUAUCAGAAGUGCGAAUGCUGACAUAAGUAACGAUAAAGCGGGUGAAAAGCCCGCUCGCCGGAAGACCAAGGGUUCCUGUCCAACGUUAAUCGGGGCAGGGUGAGUCGACCCCUAAGGCGAGGCCGAAAGGCGUAGUCGAUGGGAAACGGGUUAAUAUUCCCGUACUUGGUGUUACUGCGAAGGGGGGACGGAGAAGGCUAUGUUGGCCGGGCGACGGUUGUCCCGGUUUAAGCGUGUAGGUGUGUGUUCCAGGUAAAUCCGGUUCACUUUAACACUGAGGCGUGACGACGAGGCACUACGGUGCUGAAGCAACAAAUGCCCUGCUUCCAGGAAAAGCCUCUAAGCAUCAGGUAACAUCAAAUCGUACCCCAAACCGACACAGGUGGUCAGGUAGAGAAUACCAAGGCGCUUGAGAGAACUCGGGUGAAGGAACUAGGCAAAAUGGUGCCGUAACUUCGGGAGAAGGCACGCUGACACGUAGGUGAAGUGAUUUACUCAUGGAGCUGAAGUCAGUCGAAGAUACCAGCUGGCUGCAACUGUUUAUUAAAAACACAGCACUGUGCAAACACGAAAGUGGACGUAUACGGUGUGACGCCUGCCCGGUGCCGGAAGGUUAAUUGAUGGGGUCAGCGCAAGCGAAGCUCCUGAUCGAAGCCCCGGUAAACGGCGGCCGUAACUAUAACGGUCCUAAGGUAGCGAAAUUCCUUGUCGGGUAAGUUCCGACCUGCACGAAUGGCGUAAUGAUGGCCAGGCUGUCUCCACCCGAGACUCAGUGAAAUUGAACUCGCUGUGAAGAUGCAGUGUACCCGCGGCAAGACGGAAAGACCCCGUGAACCUUUACUAUAGCUUGACACUGAACAUUGAGCCUUGAUGUGUAGGAUAGGUGGGAGGCUUUGAAGCGUGGACGCCAGUCUGCGUGGAGCCGACCUUGAAAUACCACCCUUUAAUGUUUGAUGUUCUAACGUGGACCCGUGAUCCGGGUUGCGGACAGUGUCUGGUGGGUAGUUUGACUGGGGCGGUCUCCUCCUAAAGAGUAACGGAGGAGCACGAAGGUUGGCUAAUCCUGGUCGGACAUCAGGAGGUUAGUGCAAUGGCAUAAGCCAGCUUGACUGCGAGCGUGACGGCGCGAGCAGGUGCGAAAGCAGGUCAUAGUGAUCCGGUGGUUCUGAAUGGAAGGGCCAUCGCUCAACGGAUAAAAGGUACUCCGGGGAUAACAGGCUGAUACCGCCCAAGAGUUCAUAUCGACGGCGGUGUUUGGCACCUCGAUGUCGGCUCAUCACAUCCUGGGGCUGAAGUAGGUCCCAAGGGUAUGGCUGUUCGCCAUUUAAAGUGGUACGCGAGCUGGGUUUAGAACGUCGUGAGACAGUUCGGUCCCUAUCUGCCGUGGGCGCUGGAGAACUGAGGGGGGCUGCUCCUAGUACGAGAGGACCGGAGUGGACGCAUCACUGGUGUUCGGGUUGUCAUGCCAAUGGCACUGCCCGGUAGCUAAAUGCGGAAGAGAUAAGUGCUGAAAGCAUCUAAGCACGAAACUUGCCCCGAGAUGAGUUCUCCCUGAGACUUAAAGUCUCCUGAAGGAACGUUGAAGACGACGACGUUGAUAGGCCGGGUGUGUAAGCGCAGCGAUGCGUUGAGCUAACCGGUACUAAUGAACCGUGAGGCUUAACCUUACAACGCCGAAG